GAACCAAACUACCUUAACGAGUAGCAUGGAACACGAGAAAUUCUGUGUGAAAAUAGGAGGCCCACCUCCUAAGGCUAAAUACUACUUGGUGACCGAUAGUGGACCAGUACCGUGAGGGAAAGGUGAAAAGAACCCCGGAAGGGGAGUGAAAUAGAAUCUGAAACCCUAUGCUUACAAGCAGAGAAAGCACAUUAAAAGUGUAAUCUCGUACUUUUUGUAGAACGGGCCAGCGAGUUAUUGUAUAUAGCAAGAUUAAACCAUUAAGUGGUGGAGUCGAAGGGAAACCGAGUCUUAAGAGGGCGUAGAGUUAUAUAUAAUAGACCCGAAACCGGGUGAUCUAUCCAUGGGCAGGGUGAAAUAGCGGUAAAACGCUAUGGAGGCCCGAACCGGGUAUGGUUUAAAACAUAUCGGAUGACCUGUGGAUAGGGGUGAAAAGCCAAACGAACUCGGAUAUAGCUGGUUCUCCUCGAAAUAGCUUUAGGGCUAGCCUUUAGGAAAUUUAAUGGAGGUAGAGCACUGACUGGUUGCGGGGCGUGUAUACGCUACCAACACCCAACCAGGAUGUUGGCUUAGAAGCAGCCAUACAUUUAAAGAGUGCGUAAUAGCUCACUGGUCAAGUGAUUUUGCGCCAAAGAUUUCCGGGGCUAAAUCUGAUACCGAAGUCGUGGACUUGUAAUAACAAGUGGUAGAGGAGCAUUGUAUGAAGGCUGAAGCAGUACCGAAAGGAGCUGUGGACAUCAUAGAAGAGAGAAUGCUGGCAUAAGUAGCGAUAAGGCGAGUGAGAAUCUCGCCCGUCGAAAACCUAAGGAUUCCUGGGCAAGGCUCGUCCCCCCAGGGUAAGUCGGGACCUAAGGCCAGGCUGAAAAGCGUAGCCGAUGGACAACAGGUUGAAAUUCCUGUACUAUCUUAAAUCGCAACUAGCAACGUGGGGACGCAGGAGGAUAGCCUUACCGUACAGCAAGGAAAAGUACGGCUAAAUAACAAGCGAGAGCCUACAGGGAAAACCGUAGACUUGCUAAAGUGAGUUAUGAUGGGGAUCGAAAAACAAGUAGAGAAGAAGCACUAUUCACACUGCCAAGAAAAACCACUAGCGAGAUGAAAAGAUACCCGUACCGCAAACCGACACAGGUAGGAAAGGAGAGAAUCCUAAGACGCGCGGAAGAACCUUUGUUAAGGAACUCGGCAAAAUGACCCCGUAACUUAGGGAGAAGGGGAACCGGUGGGGGCAACCCAUCGGUCGCAGUGAAUAGGCCCAAGCGACUGUUUACCAAAAACACAAGUUUCUGCUAAGUCGUAAGACGAAGUAUAGGAGCUGACACCUGCCCGGUGCUGGAAGGUUAAGGGGAAGGCUUAGCGUAAGCGAAGGCUAGAACUUAAGCCCCAGUAAACGGCGGCCGUAACUAUAACGGUCCUAAGGUAGCGAAAUUCCUCGUCGGGUAAGUUCCGACCCGCACGAAAGGUGUAACGAUUUGGGCACUGUCUCAACAAAGGAUCCGGUGAAAUUGUAGUAUGCGUGAAGAUGCGCAUUACCCGCG
Molecule: ribosomal RNA, 1535 nt
Filed under: human gut metagenome
Description: bacterial LSU rRNA
Rfam family: Bacterial large subunit ribosomal RNA
Source: RNAcentral